GGGUUGGUGGUCCAAUGGCUAUCGCUUCUGCUUCAUAAGCAGAAGGUAAUGGGUUCAAUCCCAGGUCCGUCCCU
This is a non-coding RNA of Aedes aegypti (yellow fever mosquito), 74 nucleotides long. NCBI's taxonomy places the organism in Eukaryota, Metazoa, Arthropoda, Insecta, Diptera, Culicidae. The record is from Rfam.